CCUACGGGAGGCAGCAGUGAGGAAUAUUGGUCAAUGGGCGGAAGCCUGAACCAGCCAAGUAGCGUGCGGGAUGAAGGCCCUACGGGUCGUCAACCGCUUUUGCACGGGGAUAACACCCUCCACUUGUGGAGGUCUGCAGGUACCGUUCGAAUAAGUGCCGGCUAAUUCCGUGCCCGCAGCCGCGGUAAUACGGAAGGCCCGAGCGUUAUCCGGCUUCAUUGGGCUUAAAGGGAGCGUAGGCGGGCGUUCCAGUCAGCUGUAAAAUCGCGCGGCUCAACCGCGCCCCGCAGUUGAAACUGGACGCGUUGAGUUCACAACAGGCAGGCGGAAGUCGUGGUGUAGCGGUGAAAUGCAUAGAUAUCACGAGGAACCCCGAUUGCGAAGGCAGCCUGCCGGGGUGCGACUGACGCUGAGGCUCGAAGGUGCGGGUAUCAAACAGGAUUAGAUAUCCGGGUAGUC
This 459-nucleotide ribosomal RNA is filed under the name uncultured bacterium. RNAcentral's name for it is "partial 16S ribosomal RNA". It matches the Rfam family "Bacterial small subunit ribosomal RNA", at positions 338 to 795 of the family's 1533-position model. The record is from RNAcentral.